UGGGGAAUAUUGGACAAUGGGCGCAAGCCUGAUCCAGCCAUGCCGCGUGAGUGAUGAAGGCCCUAGGGUUGUAAAGCUCUUUCACCGGUGAAGAUAAUGACGGUAACCGGAGAAGAAGCCCCGGCUAACUUCGUGCCAGCAGCCGCGGUAAUACGAAGGGGGCUAGCGUUGUUCGGAUUUACUGGGCGUAAAGCGCACGUAGGCGGACUUUUAAGUCAGGGGUGAAAUCCCGGGGCUCAACCCCGGAACUGCCUUUGAUACUGGAAGUCUUGAGUAUGGUAGAGGUGAGUGGAAUUCCGAGUGUAGAGGUGAAAUUCGUAGAUAUUCGGAGGAACACCAGUGGCGAAGGCGGCUCACUGGACCAUUACUGACGCUGAGGUGCAAAAGCGUGGGGAGCAAACAGG
Molecule: ribosomal RNA, 404 nt
Filed under: Actinomycetes bacterium
Lineage: Bacteria; Bacillati; Actinomycetota; Actinomycetes
Also listed under: 1 other name
Description: Actinobacteria bacterium partial 16S ribosomal RNA
Rfam family: Bacterial small subunit ribosomal RNA
Source: RNAcentral